CCUACGGGUUGCAGCAGCCGAGAAUAUUGGACAAUGGGCGAAAGCCUGAUCCAGCGACAUUGCGUGGAGGAUGAAGACGUUCGCGCCGUAAACUCCUUUUAUAGGGAAAGAAGUAAUUGACGGUACCCUAUGAAUAAGCGGGGGCUAAUUCUGUGCCAGCAGCAGCGGUAAUACAGAACCCGCAAGCGUUAUCCGGAUUUAUUGGGCGUAAAGUGUUCGUAGGCGGUUCGGAAAGUCUGAUAUCAAAUAUCCGGGCUCAACCCGGGGCGAGUAUUGGAAACUUCCGAACUUGAAGGUGCUAGGGGCUAUCGGAACGCACGGUGUAGGGGUGAAAUCCGUUGAUAUCGUGCGGAACACCAAAAGCGAAGGCAGAUAGCUGGGGCAUUCUUGACGCUGAGGAACGAAAGCGUGGGGAGCAAAAAGGAUUAGAUACCCUAGUAGUC
This 443-nucleotide ribosomal RNA is filed under the name uncultured bacterium. RNAcentral describes it as "bacterial SSU rRNA". It matches the Rfam family "Bacterial small subunit ribosomal RNA", at positions 338 to 795 of the family's 1533-position model. The record is from RNAcentral.